RNAcentral lists this ribosomal RNA (449 nucleotides) under uncultured bacterium. RNAcentral describes it as "partial 16S ribosomal RNA". It matches the Rfam family "Bacterial small subunit ribosomal RNA", at positions 328 to 794 of the family's 1533-position model. The record is from RNAcentral.
UGGCCAGACUCCUACGGGAGGCAGCAGUGGGGGAUAUUGCACAAUGGGGGGAACCCUGAUGCAGCGACGCCGCGUGAGCGAUGAAGUAUUUCGGUAUGUAAAGCUCUAUCAGCAGGGAAGAAAAUGACGGUACCUGACUAAGAAGCCCCGGCUAACUACGUGCCAGCAGCCGCGGUAAUACGUAGGGGGCGAGCGUUAUCCGGAUUCACUGGGUGUAAAGGGAGCGUAGACGGCCGUGCAAGCCAGGAGUGAAAGCCCGGGGCCCAACCCCGGGACUGCUCUGGAAACUGUGCGGCUUGAGUGCGGGAGGGGCAGGCGGAAUUCCUAGUGUAGCGGUGAAAUGCGUAGAUAUUAGGAGGAACACCGGCGGCGAAGGCGGCCUGCUGGACCGUAACUGACGUUGAGGCUCGAAAGCGUGGGGAGCAAACAGGAUUAGAUACCCGAGUAUC